RNAcentral lists this ribosomal RNA (464 nucleotides) under Aphytis lingnanensis. RNAcentral describes it as "eukaryotic LSU rRNA". Lineage: Eukaryota; Metazoa; Arthropoda; Insecta; Hymenoptera; Aphelinidae. The record is from RNAcentral.
CAAGAGUACGUGAAACCGUUCAGGGGUAAACCUGAGAAACCCAAAAGAUCGAAUGGGGAGAUUCAACGAGAACUCUGCCGAUUGCCGUGUGACGCGCGAUAUUCGUUGCUUCGGCAACGGGUACGCCGUUGCUGCGGUUUCAUUGGUGGACGUAAGCGUGCACUUCUCCCCUAGUAGGACGUCGCGACCCGUUGGGUGCCGGCCUACGGCCCGCUGGGUUGACUGUUGCUUGGGCGUUUACGCGCCUCUCGUGGCAGACCCGCGGUUCCCCGGCCGGCUGCCCGGCGGUAGUGAUCAUUCAAGAAUUGGUACUUAGCCGCAUCUCGUAUGUGCGUACCGGCUCUGUGGCAGGCUUGCCUUGCUCGGCGUUACGGACCUAGUGCCGUUGCCGGGUACUUGGUGGGUCGUUUUGCCAUCGAUGUCCUCGUACUGGCUAUUACCGGUCGGCGACGCUACUGCUUUGG